RNAcentral lists this ribosomal RNA (373 nucleotides) under uncultured bacterium. Its description in RNAcentral is "bacterial SSU rRNA". It matches the Rfam family "Bacterial small subunit ribosomal RNA", at positions 30 to 410 of the family's 1533-position model. The record is from RNAcentral.
CCUGAACGCCGGCGGCGUGGCUAAGACAUGCAAGUCGAACGGGUGUAGCAAUACACCAGUGGCGGACGGGUGAGUAAUGUAUCGCUAACGUGCCCUGGAAUCUGAGAUAGCCAAUCGAAAGGUUGGGUAAUACCAGAUGAAACAUCCUUAUCGCAUGAUGAGGAUCUCAAAGGAGCAAUCCGGUCUGGGAGCGGGCGAUAUCGUAUCAGCAGUUGGUGAGGUAACGGCUCACCAAGGCGACGACGCGUAGCCGGCUGAGAGGUCGGCCGGCCACAUUGGGACUGAGACACUGCCCAGACUCCUACGGGGGGCUGCAGUAACGAAUCUUCCGCAAUGCACGAAAGUGUGACGGAGCGACGCCGCGUGUAGGAUG